AGUGCUAUCGCCAAGCGGUAAGGCAGCGGAUUUUGAUGCCGCCAUGCCUUGGUUGGAAUCCAGGUAGCCCUG
This 72-nucleotide transfer RNA is filed under the name Vibrio parahaemolyticus. RNAcentral's name for it is "tRNA-Gln". It matches the Rfam family "tRNA". Rfam says of the family: Transfer RNA (tRNA) molecules are approximately 80 nucleotides in length. Their secondary structure includes four short double-helical elements and three loops (D, anti-codon, and T loops). Further hydrogen bonds mediate the characteristic L-shaped molecular structure. tRNAs have two regions of fundamental functional importance: the anti-codon, which is responsible for specific mRNA codon recognition, and the 3' end, to which the tRNAs corresponding amino acid is attached (by aminoacyl-tRNA synthetases). tRNAs cope with the degeneracy of the genetic code in two manners: having more than one tRNA (with a specific anti-codon) for a particular amino acid; and 'wobble' base-pairing, i.e. permitting non-standard base-pairing at the 3rd anti-codon position. The record is from RNAcentral. Lineage: Bacteria; Pseudomonadati; Pseudomonadota; Gammaproteobacteria; Vibrionales; Vibrionaceae.